GACAAACGCUGGCGGCGUGCCUAAUACAUGCAAGUCGAACGCACGAAGUUGAAGAGCUUGCUCUUUAACCAAGUGAGUGGCGGACGGGGUGAGUAACACGUGGGUAACCUACCCAUUAGAGGGGGAUAACAUUCGGAAACGGAUGCUAAUACCGCAUAGUUUCAGGAAUCGCAUGAUUCGUGAAGGAAAGGUGGCUUCGGCUACCACUAAUGGAUGGACCCGCGGCGUAUUAGCUAGUUGGUGAGGUAAUGGCUCACCAAGGCAAUGAUACGUAGCCGACCUGAGAGGGUGAUCGGCCACACUGGGACUGAGACACGGCCCAGACUCCUACGGGAGGCAGCAGUAGGGAAUCUUCCGCAAUGGACGAAAGUCUGACGGAGCAACGCCGCGUGAGUGAAGAAGGUUUUCGGAUCGUAAAACUCUGUUGUUAAAGAAGAACAAGGAUGAGAGUAACUGCUCAUCCCCUGACGGUAUUUAACCAGAAAGCCACGGCUAACUACGUGCCAGCAGCCGCGGUAAUACGUAGGUGGCAAGCGUUGUCCGGAUUUAUUGGGCGUAAAGCGAGCGCAGGCGGCUCUUUAAGUCUGAUGUGAAAGCCCCCGGCUCAACCGGGGAGGGUCAUUGGAAACUGGAGAACUUGAGUGCAGAAGAGGAGAGUGGAAUUCCACGUGUAGCGGUGAAAUGCGUAGAUAUGUGGAGGAACACCAGUGGCGAAGGCGACUCUCUGGUCUGUAACUGACGCUGAGGCUCGAAAGCGUGGGGAGCAAACAGG
RNAcentral lists this ribosomal RNA (772 nucleotides) under uncultured Vagococcus sp. RNAcentral's name for it is "bacterial SSU rRNA". It matches the Rfam family "Bacterial small subunit ribosomal RNA", at positions 28 to 776 of the family's 1533-position model. Lineage: Bacteria; Bacillati; Bacillota; Bacilli; Lactobacillales; Enterococcaceae. The record is from RNAcentral.